GGGGGGAGGCCGGAUCCUGGGCUCUGUCCCGGCGCCCUGUGCUCCGGGGCCUGCGCUGUUGGAUUCGCGCUCCCGGGCCGCCGCCGCGCAACCCCCU
Molecule: non-coding RNA, 97 nt
Organism: Canis lupus familiaris (dog)
Lineage: Eukaryota; Metazoa; Chordata; Mammalia; Carnivora; Canidae
Source: Rfam